AUCUCUGUAGAGUCUGCAUAUCAAUAAGCGGAGGAAAAGAAACUAACAAGGAUUCCCUUAGUAACGGCGAGUGAAGCGGGAAGAGCUCAAAUUUGAAAUCUUCAAGGUUCUACCUUGACGAAUUGUAGUUUAUAGAAGUGUUUUCUGUUAGUGGAGUGGCAAAAGUUCUUUGGAAUAGGACAUCAUAGAGGGUGAGAAUCCCGUAUUUGGUCAUUCCUCCUAGCGUUGUGAUACACUUUCAACGAGUCGGAUUGUUUGGGAAUGCAGUCCAAAAUGGGUGGUAAAUUUCAUCUAAAGCUAAAUAUUGGCGAGAGACCGAUAGCGAACAAGUACCGUGAGGGAAAGAUGAAAAGAACUUUGAAAAGAGAGUUAAACAGUACGUGAAAUUGUCAAAAGGGAAGCGUUUGACACCAGUGUUGUUUUCUCGAAAAUCAAUUAAAAAUGGCGGGAUUUUGUGUUGUAUUGACUUUAUCAGCUUUCUGCACUUUUUUCCUGUCUUUUUUAAUGCACUUUUCGUUUAACAAGUCAACAUCAAUUUCUUUUGUUGUAAAAGAGUCAUUGGAAGGUGGCUUUCACUUCGGUGAAAGUGUUUAUAGCCUUUGACUUCUGCAAUCGGAGAGAUUGAGGUCUGCAGCGUAGAUCCUUCGGGGUUAGAUACAUUUGUGCUAAGUUAUAGCCUUUCAUAGACAACUUGUUGACUAUGAUCAGUCAUGUAGCUUACUCGCUUAUGCUAUUUUACCUACGCUUAGGAUGUUGAGUAGCGACAUACGCAC
Molecule: ribosomal RNA, 773 nt
Filed under: uncultured Neocallimastigales
Lineage: Eukaryota; Fungi; Neocallimastigomycota; Neocallimastigomycetes; Neocallimastigales
Description: partial large subunit ribosomal RNA
Rfam family: Eukaryotic large subunit ribosomal RNA
Source: RNAcentral